UACGUAGGGGGCAAGCGUUAUCCGGAUUUACUGGGUGUAAAGGGUGCGUAGGUGGUAUGGUAAGUCAGAAGUGAAAACCCGGGGCUCAACUCCGCGGAUUGCUUUUGAAACUAUCAGACUGGAGUACCGGAGAGGUAAGCGGAAUUCCUAGUGUAGCGGUGAAAUGCGUAGAUAUUAGGAGGAACACCAGUGGCGAAGGCGGCUUACUGGACGGUAACUGACACUGAGGCACGAAAGCGUGGGGAGCAAACAGG
This 254-nucleotide ribosomal RNA is filed under the name Anaerostipes hadrus. RNAcentral's name for it is "partial 16S ribosomal RNA". It matches the Rfam family "Bacterial small subunit ribosomal RNA", at positions 524 to 776 of the family's 1533-position model. The record is from RNAcentral. Lineage: Bacteria; Bacillati; Bacillota; Clostridia; Lachnospirales; Lachnospiraceae.